GACGAACGCUGGCGGCGUGCCUAAUACAUGCAAGUAGAACGCACAGUUUAUACCUUAGCUUGCUACACCAUACACUGUGAGUUGCGAACGGGUGGGUAACCCUUAGGUAACCUGCCGGGUAGCGGGGGAUAACUAUUGGAAACGAUAGCUAAUACCGCAUAAUAUUGAUUAUUGCAUGAUAAUUGAUGGAAAGUUGCUAUUGCACCACUACCAGAUGGACCGGCGUUGUAUUAGCUAGUAGGUGAGGUAACGGCUCACCUAGGCGACGAUACAUAGCCGACCUGAGAGGGUGAUCGGCCACACUGGGACUGAGACACGGCCCAGACUCCUACGGGAGGCAGCAGUAGGGAAUCUUCGGCAAUGGACGAAAGUCUGACCGAGCAACGCCGCGUGAGUGAAGAAGGUUUUCGGAUCGUAAAGCUCUGUUGUAAGAGAAGAACGGGUGUGAGAGUGGAAAGUUCACACUGUGACGGUAUCUUACCAGAAAGGGACGGCUAACUACGUG
This 505-nucleotide ribosomal RNA is filed under the name uncultured bacterium. RNAcentral's name for it is "partial 16S ribosomal RNA". It matches the Rfam family "Bacterial small subunit ribosomal RNA", at positions 28 to 507 of the family's 1533-position model. The record is from RNAcentral.